RNAcentral lists this ribosomal RNA (459 nucleotides) under uncultured bacterium. RNAcentral's name for it is "partial 16S ribosomal RNA". It matches the Rfam family "Bacterial small subunit ribosomal RNA", at positions 338 to 795 of the family's 1533-position model. The record is from RNAcentral.
CCUACGGGGUGCAGCAGUGAGGAAUAUUGGUCAAUGGUCGGGAGACUGAACCAGCCAAGCCGCGUGAGGGAGGAAGGUACAGAGUAUCGUAAACCUCUUUUGUCAGGGAACAAAGGCGGGGACGUGUCCCCGGAUGAGUGUACCUGAAGAAAAAGCAUCGGCUAACUCCGUGCCAGCAGCCGCGGUAAUACGGAGGAUGCGAGCGUUAUCCGGAUUUAUGGGGUUUAAAGGGUGCGCAGGCGGUCUGUUAAGUCAGCGGUCAAAGCCCGGGGCUCAACCCCGGCCCGCCGUUGAAACUGGCAGUCUCGAGUUGGAGAGAAGUAUGCGGAAUGCGCGGUGUAGCGGUGAAAUGCAUAGAUAUCGCGCAGAACUCCGAUUGCGAAGGCAGCAUGCCGGCUCCACACUGACGCUGAGGCACGAAAGCGUGGGUAUCGAACAGGAUUAGAUACCCCUGUAGUC